This 492-nucleotide ribosomal RNA is filed under the name uncultured bacterium. RNAcentral describes it as "partial 16S ribosomal RNA". It matches the Rfam family "Bacterial small subunit ribosomal RNA", at positions 29 to 507 of the family's 1533-position model. The record is from RNAcentral.
AGUGAACGCUGGCGGUAGACCUAACACAUGCAAGUCGAACGGCAGCACAGUAAGAGCUUGCUCUUACGGGUGGCGAGUGGCGGACGGGUGAGGAAUACAUCGGAAUCUACUUUUUCGUGGGGGAUAACGUAGGGAAACUUGCGCUAAUACCGCAUACGACCUACGGGUGAAAGCAGGGGAUCUUCGGACCUUGCGCGAUUGAAUGAGCCGAUGUCGGAUUAGCUAGUUGGCGGGGUAAAGGCCCACCAAGGCGACGAUCCGUAGCUGGUCUGAGAGGAUGAUCAGCCACACUGGAACUGAGCCACGGUCCAGACUCCUACGGGAGGCAGCAGUGGGGAAUAUUGGACAAUGGGCGCAAGCCUGAUCCAGCCAUACCGCGUGGGUGAAGAAGGCCUUCGGGUUGUAAAGCCCUUUUGUUGGGAAAGAAAAGCAGCAGGUUAAUACCCCGCUGUUCUGACGGUACCCAAAGAAUAAGCACCGGCUAACUUCGUG